AUGUGGGCAGGUGCAAGGACCUGCAUGCAGCAGCCUGCAGCUCGGAGGUGCUGCUGCUCAGCACAGGGCUCGGUGGGUUUCGCACUUAGCGACUGGACGGUGUGGUCCUCCUCAUGGUACGGGAGGGGCCGAGAUCUGUGUGGGAGCAGAUGGCCGCUGCUGUUCCAGCACAUUCUCGGUUCUUUUUGUAUACUUAACAAUAUUUUGUAUGUGACAAGAGUUUUUAUGUACUUCGGUAUAUCUUAUGACACAAAAUAUUUAAUUAAAAGGCAUUUGAUACCUCUCGUUCCCAUUUCAUCUAAUUUCUCACACACCCCCAAAGCCUCAGCGACUGCUCUCCUUGGAACGCCGCCCCUCUCCCACGGCGCCCGUGUUGCCCUGGCUGGGGGACGCGGAGCCGCCCCUUCCCGGCACCGAACCUCGCCGCGUUCUUUCCGAGGCAGCGCUCAGGCGAUUCCACGGGGGCGCUGCGAAGCGACCCGCUCCAUUCACCGCCCUCCCAGGCGCCGUGGGCGGGCCGUACCGCUGCCGUCACGGCGGGCGGGCCGGGCGGGCGAGCUGCGGCGCCGCCCCGCGUUCUCGGGCCGUGGCAGGAAGCGGUUGGGACGGGCGGCGCGCGGCGGCGGCUCCCCGGCGAGGGGCGAUGACGCGGCGCCUGUGAGAGGCCCUCAGCGCCGCGCGGGCCGCCAUGGGCUCCCCGCCGCUCUCCCCGCCGGAGCGCGGCCGCCGCGGCCCGGCCCCGCUGUCCGGGGCCGCCGCGCUGGCGCUGCUCGUGCUGCUGGCGGCGCCGGCCGGGCUGCGCGCCGCGCCGGAGGAAGAGCCCGGCAGGAACAAGGUGCCGGCGGCCGCGCCUCAGGGAGCGGGGCAGGGAGCCGAGCCGCGGGCCGAGUUUUGUUUGGCUAUGCCACAACAGUUAUUCCCCGUGUGUAUACAUACUAUGUGUCAACUGCACUGUUUGCAAUUUUUGGCAUCAGAAUGCUUCGAGAAGGCUUGAAAAUGAGUCCAGAUGAGGGCCAGGAAGAGCUGGAAGAAGUUCAGGCAGAAAUUAAGAAAAAAGAUGAGGAACUUCAGAGAACUAAACUGUUAAAUGGGCCAGGGGAUGUGGAAACGGGAUCAACUGCCACUAUACCUCAGAAGAAAUGGCUCCAUUUUAUUUCUCCCAUCUUUGUACAAGCGUUUACUUUAACAUUUUUAGCAGAGUGGGGUGAUCGUUCCCAGUUAACAACCAUCGUCUUGGCAGCCAGAGAGGUGAGUGCUGCAGGAUGCCCCUUCUUUUGCUCUCCUUGGGUCGUCUGCAGGAUCCUUACGGUGUGGCAGUAGGAGGAACGGUGGGACAUUGUCUAUGCACUGGUUUAGCAGUUAUUGGAGGGAGAAUGAUAGCACAAAAAAUUUCUGUUAGGACUGUGACAAUCAUAGGAGGCAUCGUCUUCUUAGCUUUUGCAUUUUCUGCACUAUUUAUAAGUCCAGACUCUGGUUUUUAAAUAUUUUUCAUCGCUGCGAAAGGACAAGGAUGGGAAGCAUCUAGCAGCUAUCCUUGUGUGGUUUUGUAUAUAAAUGUACAGAAUUAUAGUUAAACAAGCACCGAAGAUGAGACACUGAACUUUUUAUAGCAAAUGAUUGGUGGGAUUGACACGUUUAUGGACAGCUUCUGCGGUGGAGAUCUGUUUGCUGUCUGGUUUGUAUGUUCUGUGGUGCCUGCUACCUUGGUAGGAUUUGCGUGGUUUUCUUGUUUGCUGAACCUGGCUCAGCUGAGUUUUGAGAAUCUACGUCCAUAAAUGUUGGAGCUUUCUUUUUUCCUCCUCUGUUACACAUGGCCCCCUUUGCUGUUGCUUCUGGAGGUUAUUCUUAUGCCUUCUCUGAAGCAGAUCGGAGCGUUUUGUUUCAUAUUGUUGAACAAAGCAUUAAAGAGAGAACAGUUGACUCCCACCUCCAAAGACUUUGGUUCCAGGACGUGCCUGAGGCUGGAUAAUGUAAGUAAGAAAAAGCCAGGGAGCACUUCCUAUGCCGUUUAGUGGCUGAGCCACCAACAGAUAAUAUUAUAAAUUUCAUUUAGAGGGCAAACUUCUUAAUCAGGGACUUUUAUCAGGAAAUUGUGUGUUGAUUAACAGCCUGCCGUGUUCAAUGUGCAAUCUGGAGCUAGUAGUAUUUGACUUAUUUUUUUUCUCCUUUUUUUUUUUUUUUUCCUUUUUUGACUUUCAAAACUUUAUAAAGUACAUGGAAAGUAAUAAAGUGGUCCAGCUUAACCGUGUUUCAUUCCCAGGACUGAACAAUAAUGGAAUCUUUAGAUUUAGAUAUGUUCGUAUUUUUCUUUUUAGGAAUAGAAAUGUAAUCUGGAGGACUAUUAAUAAAACACAGUGUCUCAAUUUGA
This is an RNA transcript of Gallus gallus (chicken), 2368 nucleotides long. It is a transcript of the gene named transmembrane protein 165, with no coding region annotated. The record is from RefSeq and is a predicted model, not a curated record. The transcript is spliced from 5 exons. Lineage: Eukaryota; Metazoa; Chordata; Aves; Galliformes; Phasianidae.